UACGUAGGCAGCGAGCGUUGUUCGGAAUUACUGGGCGUAAAGAGUGUGUAGGCGGUGCUCUAAGUUCGGUGUGAAAUCUCCUGGCUCAACUGGGAGGGUGCGCCGGAAACUGGAGUGCUCGAGCGUGGGAGAGGAAAGCGGAAUUCCUGGUGUAGCGGUGAAAUGCGUAGAUAUCAGGAGGAACACCGAUUGCGAAGGCAGCUCGCUGGAACGUUACUGACGCUGAGACGCGAAAGCGUGGGGAGCAAACAGG
RNAcentral lists this ribosomal RNA (253 nucleotides) under uncultured bacterium. Its description in RNAcentral is "partial 16S ribosomal RNA". It matches the Rfam family "Bacterial small subunit ribosomal RNA", at positions 524 to 776 of the family's 1533-position model. The record is from RNAcentral.